ACUCUAAAAUAGAGGAAAAGUGUA
Molecule: non-coding RNA, 24 nt
Filed under: Arabidopsis thaliana (thale cress)
Lineage: Eukaryota; Viridiplantae; Streptophyta; Magnoliopsida; Brassicales; Brassicaceae
Source: RNAcentral